Molecule: non-coding RNA, 529 nt
Organism: Triticum urartu
Lineage: Eukaryota; Viridiplantae; Streptophyta; Magnoliopsida; Poales; Poaceae
Source: RefSeq, a predicted model, not a curated record
UUUUUGGCAGAUUCUAAUUUGUUAAUAUCUAGCUAUACUGGCAACUCCUUGCUCUACUCUGGCAAAUUUUGCCUGGUUGCGUUGUUUUUCAUGUGACAAAACAGAUUCUUUAUGAUGGGUAUUGCUGCUGCAUUUCCUGAAGUAUUUGGAUUGACGUGUCCCCGCCCCUGCCUAUUUGUACUUCUCAGUGUACUAUGUUUACUAUAGAUGUUGACGGAGAUUAGGAAGAUCUUGAAGCCGCUGAUGAUUUGGAAAACCUAUGAUUAAGUUGCUGAGUGAUUAUGUAAUAUGCUUUGUUUGUUGAACCUGGACACUUGCUCUGCUCAUUUUGCUGGUUAAGCCACUAUAUGCUCAUUUUGGUUGUGGCACCCCCAGAAACAUAUGUACUUUCUCCUUUUGUGGCAAUACUUCAGUUUGGUUGUGGCACAUUUAACAUAUAUGUACUGUACCUUUUGUGGCAGAACCUCCUUAUGUAUAUAUGGAUAUUAUGUUUAUCUGAUGAUGUUUAAGGUUUUCUGGACGAGGCCUA